This 630-nucleotide ribosomal RNA is filed under the name uncultured Actinomycetes bacterium. Its description in RNAcentral is "bacterial SSU rRNA". It matches the Rfam family "Bacterial small subunit ribosomal RNA", at positions 229 to 873 of the family's 1533-position model. Lineage: Bacteria; Bacillati; Actinomycetota; Actinomycetes. The record is from RNAcentral.
AUUCGCGGCCUAUCAGCUUGUUGGUGUGGUAACAGCUCACCAAGGCGACGACGGGUAGCUGGUCUGAGAGGACGACCAGCCACACUGGGACUGAGACACGGCCCAGACUCCUACGGGAGGCAGCAGUAGGGAAUCUUGCGCAAUGGGGGAAACCCUGAUGCAGCGACGCCGCGUGCGGGAUGAAGGCCUUCGGGUCGUAAACCGCUUUCAGCAGGGACGAAAUUGACGGUACCUGCAGAAGAAGGCCCGGCCAACUACGUGCCAGCAGCCGCGGUAAUACGUAGGGGCCUAGCGUUGUCCGGAUUUAUUGGGCGUAAAGAGCUCGUAGGCGGUUUGGUUAGUCGGGUGUGAAAUCUCCAUGCUCAACGUGGAGGGGCCACCCGAUACUGCCAUGACUGGAGUCCGGUAGAGGAGUGUGGAAUUCCCGGUGUAGCGGUGAAAUGCGCAGAGAUCGGGAGGAACACCCGUAGCGAAGGCGGCACUCUGGGCCGGUACUGACGCUGAGGAGCGAAAGCGUGGGGAGCGAACAGGAUUAGAUACCCUGGUAGUCCACGCUGUAAACGUUGGGCACUAGGUGUGGGACUCUAUCGAUGGGUUCCGUGCCGCAGCUAACGCAUUAAGUGCCCCGCC